AGAGUUUGAUCAUGGCUCAGAUUGAACGCUGGCGGCAGGCCUAACACAUGCAAGUCGAGCGGCAGCGGGAAGAUAGUUUACUAUCUUUGCCGGCGAGCGGCGGACGGGUGAGUAAUGCCUAGGGAUCUGCCCAGUCGAGGGGGAUAACAGUUGGAAACGACUGCUAAUACCGCAUACGCCCUACGGGGGAAAGGAGGGGACCUUCGGGCCUUCCGCGAUUGGAUGAACCUAGGUGGGAUUAGCUAGUUGGUGAGGUAAUGGCUCACCAAGGCGACGAUCCCUAGCUGUUCUGAGAGGAUGAUCAGCCACACUGGGACUGAGACACGGUCCAGACUCCUACGGGAAGCAGCAGUGGGGAAUAUUGCACAAUGGGGGAAACCCUGAUGCAGCCAUGCCGCGUGUGUGAAGAAGGCCUUCGGGUUGUAAAGCACUUUCAGUAGGGAGGAAAGGUAGCAGUUUAAUACGCUGUUGCUGUGACGUUACCUACAGAAGAAGGACCGGCUAACUCCGUGCCAGCAGCCGCGGUAAUACGGAGGGUCCGAGCGUUAAUCGGAAUUACUGGGCGUAAAGCGUGCGCAGGCGG
RNAcentral lists this ribosomal RNA (583 nucleotides) under uncultured bacterium. Its description in RNAcentral is "bacterial SSU rRNA". It matches the Rfam family "Bacterial small subunit ribosomal RNA", at positions 8 to 578 of the family's 1533-position model. The record is from RNAcentral.